Long non-coding RNA from Cyprinus carpio carpio, 666 nucleotides. Lineage: Eukaryota; Metazoa; Chordata; Actinopteri; Cypriniformes; Cyprinidae. The record is from Ensembl.
CAGCUGUCUGGGGGAAAAUAUGUAAGCAGGCGAUUGGACCAAGAGGGAAAUAAAAGAAGUUGAUGUUAGAGGAGAACGGAGGAAGGAUUUGUGGGGAGGCAGCAGUGACACAGCAAGCAAGGAAUCGGAGGCAGAGAGAGACUGGAUUAAUUUGAGAUAAGUGUCUGGUUAUUCUGGUUCAUAGUUAUUCUAUGAAGAAGCACUGCGUUGACAUACUGUUGAAGUUCAUGACUCUCUGUCUAGUUGCUGAGGAUGGAUGUUUGGGAAUGACACAACAGCGAGAGCCCUGUUUUGUAUCAACGCAUGGAGAGAACAUCAGUUGGGGUUGUUGUGUGGGCCCGUACUCUGCUUUAAGGAUUUGAGGACCCCGUGACAUAUGGAAUUGAGUAUCCACUGACUCGACCAUUCAUAUUGAAUCUGUGCUGAAGUACUGUAGAGUCACUGAACUGGUGCUGAAACCCCACUGAGCCACGGAACGGAGACAGCCACUGAUGAUAUCCAGCCUGUGAACUCUAGGAACGGAGUUACCACCAAGCCGUCGCCAUCUGGUGCCGUAGCCAUUCGGGCUGUAUUCACCUUACUGUGUUGGUAGUGGAGGAGGGGAACUAGAGCCACACACACCAUCAUUCAGUCUCUAGGGAGGAAGCUCGUACUGCUUUUAGAGAC